GCCAUCGCUCACAGGAUAAAAGGUACUCCGGGGAUAACAGGCUGAUACCGCCCAAGAGUUCAUAUCGACGGCGGUGUUUGGCACCUCGAUGUCGGCUCAUCACAUCCUGGGGCUGAAGUAGGUCCCAAGGGUAUGGCUGUUCGCCAUUUAAAGUGGUACGCGAGCUGGGUUUAGAACGUCGUGAGACAGUUCGGUCCCUAUCUGCCGUGGGCGCUGGAGAACUGAGGGGGGCUGCUCCUAGUACGAGAGGACCGGAGUGGACGCAUCACUGGUGUUCGGGUUGUCAUGCCAAUGGCACUGCCCGGUAGCUAAAUGCGGAAGAGAUAAGUGCUGAAAGCAUCUAAGCACGAAACUUGCCCCGAGAUGAGUUCUCCCUGACUCCUUGAGAGUCCUGAAGGAACGUUGAAGACGACGACGUUGAUAGGCCGGGUGUGUAAGCGCAGCGAUGCGUUGAGCUAACCGGUACUAAUGAACCGUGAGGCUUAACCUUACAACGCCGAAG
This 502-nucleotide ribosomal RNA is filed under the name Escherichia coli. RNAcentral's name for it is "bacterial LSU rRNA". It matches the Rfam family "Bacterial large subunit ribosomal RNA", at positions 2441 to 2925 of the family's 2925-position model. Lineage: Bacteria; Pseudomonadati; Pseudomonadota; Gammaproteobacteria; Enterobacterales; Enterobacteriaceae. The record is from RNAcentral.